This 346-nucleotide ribosomal RNA is filed under the name uncultured Streptococcus sp. RNAcentral describes it as "bacterial SSU rRNA". It matches the Rfam family "Bacterial small subunit ribosomal RNA", at positions 1036 to 1382 of the family's 1533-position model. The record is from RNAcentral. Lineage: Bacteria; Bacillati; Bacillota; Bacilli; Lactobacillales; Streptococcaceae.
AGGUGGUGGCAUGGUUGUCGUCAGCUCGUGUCGUGAGAUGUUGGUUAAGUCCCGCAACGAGCGCAACCCCUAUUGUUAGUUGCCAUCAUUCAGUUUGGGCACUCUAGCGAGACUGCCGGUAAUAAACCGGAGGAAGGUGGGGAUGACGUCAAAUCAUCAUGCCCCUUAUGACCUGGGCUACACACGUGCUACAAUGGUUGGUACAACGAGUUGCGAGUCGGUGACGGCGAGCUAAUCUCUUAAAGCCAAUCUCAGUUCGGAUUGUAGGCUGCAACUCGCCUACAUGAAGUCGGAAUCGCUAGUAAUCGCGGAUCAGCACGCCGCGGUGAAUACGUUCCCGGGCCUU